UGAGGAAUUUUCCGCAAUGGGCGAAAGCCUGACGGAGCGACGCCGCGUGUGCGAUGAAAUCUUUCGGGAUGUAAAGCACUGUCGGCAGGGACGAUAUUGACAGUACCUGCAGAGGAAGGCCCGGCUAACUACGUGCCAGCAGCCGCGGUAAUACGUAGGGGCCAAGCGUUGUUCGGAAUUACUGGGCGUAAAGCGUAUGUAGGCAGCUUUGUAAGUCAGAUGUAAAAUCUCCCGGCUUAACCGGGAACCUGCAUUUGAAACUACUUUGCUAGAGAGUGGUAGAGGGAAGCGGAAUUUCCGGUGUAGCGGUGAAAUGCGUAGAUAUCGGAAGGAACACCAGUGGCGAAAGCGGCUUCCUGGACCACUUCUGACGCUAAGAUACGAAAGCUAGGGGAGCAAACGGG
This 404-nucleotide ribosomal RNA is filed under the name uncultured bacterium. Its description in RNAcentral is "bacterial SSU rRNA". It matches the Rfam family "Bacterial small subunit ribosomal RNA", at positions 355 to 776 of the family's 1533-position model. The record is from RNAcentral.